Molecule: non-coding RNA, 598 nt
Organism: Pelobates cultripes (western spadefoot toad)
Lineage: Eukaryota; Metazoa; Chordata; Amphibia; Anura; Pelobatidae
Source: the annotation of a GenBank genome assembly
UUCAAAUACAUUUCCUGUUAGGCAAUAUGUUGCUUGUUUGUAUUCCUAACUCCUAAUUCCUAAUUCCUUGUAUUAUGUAGGCUAUCAUUUAUACGUGGAAAUCAAUUUGCGUAAGACUGCAGAUAUAUAUAGAGAGUAUCUGAGAGAUAAAACAAAUCUGAAAUGUUGUGUUUCUUUGCGUGUUCUCACAUGUUUAAAUACUACUGAGAACAUCGCAAGGAUGGAACAACAAUUAGAUCUCCUGAAAGCUACAUAGAAAUUAAAUGACAUGCCUCUCUUUCUUGUGAAAUGUGUUUCUUUAUAAAUACUUUAUAAAUGGACCCAUGUUAUAUCCAAAUGAGGAGAAUGACCUAAUUUUUGUAUUAUUAAUUAUUUCAAUCAAUGUUAUUGUUAGACUUCGGUUCCAACAAAUUGCAAGCUGUCCAGGUUUUGGGCGAUUGGCGGUUCUUCCAAAUAUUGUAACUCUGUAACACUAUAUGGAUAAAUCACAAACAACCUAAUUAAAGGGACAAUGGAUGAACAGUCUUGUUUUUUGUUUUUUUUUGGUAAAUCAGAGUUCCGUCUGUAGUGUCAAAAAUGGGAUGAUUGAUGGUUAGGG